GUUAAUAAGCUUAAAGCAACAUAACUUGAAAUUAUGUAAAAGUAAAUUAAUCUUAUUUAACA
This 62-nucleotide transfer RNA is filed under the name Penthicodes caja. RNAcentral describes it as "tRNA-Ser". The record is from RNAcentral. Lineage: Eukaryota; Metazoa; Arthropoda; Insecta; Hemiptera; Fulgoridae.